This 279-nucleotide ribosomal RNA is filed under the name uncultured bacterium. RNAcentral's name for it is "partial 16S ribosomal RNA". It matches the Rfam family "Bacterial small subunit ribosomal RNA", at positions 506 to 784 of the family's 1533-position model. The record is from RNAcentral.
UGCCAGCCGCCGCGGUAAUACGGAGGUUGCAAGCGUUGUUCAGAAUUACUGGGCGUAAAGGGAGCGCAGGCGGCCAAGUCAGUCUGAAGUGAAAGUCCGGGGCUCAACCCCGGAAGUGCUUCGGAUACUGCUUGGCUUGAGUACGUGAGAGGUGAGUGGAAUUUCAGGUGAAGCGGUGAAAUGCGUAGAUAUCUGAAGGAACAUCGGUGGCGAAAGCGGCUCACUGGCACGAAACUGACGCUGAGGCUCGAAAGCGUGGGGAGCGAACGGGAUUAGAUA